CGAACGCUGGCGGCGUGCUUCAUACAUGCAAGUCGAACGAGAAGCUCUCUUCGGAGAGUGGAAAGUGGCGGACGGGUGAGUAAUAUGUAGAGAAUCUGCCCUUGAGCGGGGGACAACAGAGGGAAACUUCUGCUAAUACCCCAUAUGAGCUUAGUUGAAAUACUAAUCUUGAAAACUCCGGUGCUCAAGGAUGAGUCUGCAUCUGAUUAGCUAGUUGGUGGUGUAAUGGACUACCAAGGCGACGAUCAGUAGCUGGUUUGAGAGGAUGAUCAGCCACAAUGGGACUGAGACACGGCCCAUACUCCUACGGGAGGCAGCAGUAGGGAAUUUUGCGCAAUGGGCGAAAGCCUUGACGCAGCAACGCCGCGUGAACGAUUAAGCCCUUCGGGGUGUAAAGUUCUGUCAGUAGGGACGAAUUUUGACGGUACCUACAGAGGAAGCACCGGCUAACUCCGUGCCAGCAGCUGC
Molecule: ribosomal RNA, 468 nt
Filed under: uncultured bacterium
Lineage: Bacteria
Description: bacterial SSU rRNA
Rfam family: Bacterial small subunit ribosomal RNA
Source: RNAcentral